UUAAUUGCGAUAACGAACGAACGUAACCCUUAACCUGACUAAAUAGUUAUGCCAACUUUUGUUGGUAGACAACUUCUUAGAGGGACUGUCGACGAUUAGUCGACGGAAGUUUGAGGCAAUAACAGGCCUGUGAUGCCCUUAGAUGUCCUGGGCCGCACGCGCGCUACACUGAUGAAGUCAGCGAGUCUAUAACCUUGGCCGGAAGGUCUGGGUAAUCUUUUGAAACUUCAUCGUGCUGGGGAUAGAGCAUUGCAAUG
Molecule: ribosomal RNA, 257 nt
Filed under: uncultured fungus
Lineage: Eukaryota; Fungi
Description: partial small subunit ribosomal RNA
Rfam family: Eukaryotic small subunit ribosomal RNA
Source: RNAcentral